CCACUGAGAAGAGUAGUGGCGAACGGGUGGAGUAACACGUGGGUAACCUGCCCAUAAGAGGGGGAGUAACAAUCCGGAAACGGGUGCUAAUACCGCAUAGUUUCUUGAUCGCAUGAUCGGGAAAGGAAAGACGGCCUUUGUGCUGUCGCUUAUGGAUGGACCCGCGGCGUAUUAGUUAGUUGGUGAGGUAACGGCUCACCAAGACGAUGAUACGUAGUCGACCUGAGAGGGUGAUCGGCCACAUUGGGACUGAGACACGGCCCAAACUCCUGCGGGAGGCAGCAGUAGGGAAUCUUCCGCAAUGGACGAAAGUCUGACGGAGCAACGCCGCGUGAGUGAAGAAAAGGUUUUCGGAUCGUAAAACUCUGUUGUCAGAGAAGAACAAGUUGGAGAGUAACUGCUCCAGCCUUGACGGUAUCUGACCAGAAAGCCACGGCUAACUACGUGCCAGCCGCAGC
RNAcentral lists this ribosomal RNA (458 nucleotides) under uncultured bacterium. RNAcentral describes it as "bacterial SSU rRNA". It matches the Rfam family "Bacterial small subunit ribosomal RNA", at positions 80 to 518 of the family's 1533-position model. The record is from RNAcentral.